UGAGCACACUUGAAUUCGUUCAUUGUCGAUGGCAUUAGGAUGCAUAAAUCACCUUUCAGACUUUUGAUGAAUUAUGCUUGUGCUAGAUAUUGUCAACCAGCUCCCAAAAUCAAAGGGUAUAGAACAUCCUUGCACAUGCUCAUACAAUGCAUGAUCACAUCAGUUGAGCCUACACGAAUUUCUACUGUAAUCCAAUCUAAUUGUUUGGAAUGGCCACUCAUAACCUUUAAUGAUGGUCCAUCAUACAGAUGCAAUGAGCUAGUUGAUUUAUGACAAGUGUCAAUGAUAGUUGUGGUUGAACAUGGAUCGCAAAAUGUAAUCAGUUCUAUAUUAUCAACUAUGGUAGCACUGAU
Molecule: long non-coding RNA, 353 nt
Filed under: Androctonus crassicauda
Lineage: Eukaryota; Metazoa; Arthropoda; Arachnida; Scorpiones; Buthidae
Source: RNAcentral